Molecule: long non-coding RNA, 1849 nt
Filed under: Marmota monax (woodchuck)
Lineage: Eukaryota; Metazoa; Chordata; Mammalia; Rodentia; Sciuridae
Source: RNAcentral
CCCCGUGCAGAAAGCAGGAAGACCCUCACACAGUCUCUCUCUCUCACAGCUGGCAUGAGGCAAGCAGUGAAGGAUCUGAUAACACACACCCCAACUAGAGCCAUCAGGGCAUGCGUGCAAGAUGUGAAAGAGCAGGCGACACCGGAUUCUACUUUGCUAAGGGCAGCCAAGAGACAGUGUCUGGCAUGCUUCAGCUAUUGGAACUGGCCAUGUGGUCUCCAGGCUAGAUCCUCUGGCUUCCCUAGAGAAGCUGCCAACUUCCUAACAUCCUCUAAUGCAUUUAUUUUCUCUUUAAUUGGAGUGGAUUCUUGGUUAUGCCCAACUGGGAUAAACCUCUGACUCAGAUGACUAACGAGGACCUGGCCAAGUUCAAAGCCACAGAUGACUCCUUCUACCUUCUCCCUCCAGCUACCAUCUUGAUCCUGAAAAGUUGCCCUCUUUACAAGCCAUUUCUCACAACCAGGGUAAGAAAGAAAACGGCCAUGAACUCAGCAGCUGGUUUGCAUACCACUUAUGCACAGAGACUUUGGCAAGCAGUGUAGCCUCUCUGGUUGGGUUUCCUCAUCUUUUUCAAAUGGAGAUAUUAUAGCCAACUUCUCCAUACAGUUGUUGUAAGGAUUAAAUAAAAUACCAAUUAAGAGCACUCAGAUAAAUGUUAAGGAUGAACUCUCCCAGCAAGUUUAAAUAAACAAACAAAAAAAUAAUACUAAGAAGAAAUCUCAUGUAGGGAGUUAGAAAAUUCAUUAUUAAAUGGGAUAAAAAUCAUAAUCCCUUGAACAACUAUAUCAGGGAUUUUUGUUUUCUGGCCAUAGACUUGUUUAGAAUCCAUCAACAGAAAUUGAAGAAUUUAUUCAACCCUGGAUGAAAUCUAAAAGUCAACUACCUGAAGAUACUAGAAAAUUUACAAAAGCAGUUAGAUGCUGACAUUUGGAAAAGGGGACAUCGUAGAGUCUCUUUCUUUUUAGAUAGCAUUUUGCCUGCAGAUAGGUCCCAGUCUGCACCAGGAAAACCUGCAAUAUUAUUAGCUUGAUGAACCAGAGGAUACUGAUCUGGAUAACCAUCAUCACUAAAAAGUGAAGGGAGAGACCCAGGAGAGGAGAUAAAGAAUUCAAGUGUAAACUAUGUAUGUCUCUGGGUCGAUCCAUAAACUUCACAUGUAUGAGGCAGACACCAAGCAAUCAGACAUGGCUAGAAUAACUGAACUUCAAUUUGAGCUACCACCCAUCAUAGGUUGGGGGGGUUGCGGAAUUUACAGGUUGAGUUCAAUCAAGUUAAUUCUAAGUUAAAACCAAAUCAAUAUUCUUCAGAGGAACAUAAUGGAAUCCAGUGCCUCUGCAAUGUCUUAUUCAGAGUGUCCAAGAUACAAAAUUCCCCAAAGUACUGAAAACCAACAAGAUGUGACUUAUUCUAAGGGACAGGACAGUUGAUAGAGACUAACUUCAAGAUGAUUCGGACCCUGGAUUAGCUGAGAUUUUAAAGUGGCAAUUAUAACUAAGCUCAGGAACAGAAGGGACUAUAUUUGCCAUAAAUAAAAUUAUAACUAUUCAAAAGAGCCCAAAUGGAAAUUUUGUGAAAGAAAAUUUCAAUAUCAGAAAUAAAAAUGUACUAGAUAGUCUUAAGAACAGAAGAGAGAUGAUGAAAGAAUGAGUCAAUGAAAUUAUGAAAUCUCAAUAGGAAUUAUCUAUUUAGAAGCAUAUAUGUAUUUCUUUAAAAGACUGAAAAAAUUAGUUGUUCUUCACGGUCCAAUGGGACAAUACUAGGUCUAAAAUCCAUGUCAUUAGAGCCCGAGAAGGAGAGGAGACAGGAAAAAUGGGAAAGAACAUGUUUGUAAAAAUAAUGGCUAAACUUG